This 3838-nucleotide long non-coding RNA is filed under the name Mytilus galloprovincialis (Mediterranean mussel). The record is from RNAcentral. Lineage: Eukaryota; Metazoa; Mollusca; Bivalvia; Mytilida; Mytilidae.
AAUUUCCACAAUUCGGACAAUUUUGUCUGUCUAGUUUAAGCAGCAAUCCAAUCAAUUUUCUUUUUAGAAAUAUACAUAUAGACAUUGUAUUUUUUUUAAUGUGGAUAGUUAACAGCAUGAAUGCUAAAAAAAAUAAUUUGGUUGAACUGCUGGAAAUAUCAUCUAUUGUCCUUUCAGUUCUCUACGUAACAUACAAUAGGGACCGGAUGGGGGUGUUUACUGAAUAUAGAAUAAUAGGGGGAACAUGCAGAAUAAAGGGCUUAAAAAUAAAGAAUAGAGAAAAAUAGACCAAAAAGUAAAGAUAAGCAGGGGCGGAUCCAGCCAUUUUAAAAAGGGGGGUUCCAACUAUAUGCUCCAAUUCAAAUGCAUUGAUCGGCCAAAAAAAGGGGGGUUCCAACCCCGGGAACCCCCCUCCUGGAUCCGCCACUGAUAAGAGAAUAAUGUGGUGUUUAAAUAUAAAGAAAAGACCCCUCAACCAGACCCUAAUACAUGUACAAGUGGUUUUUCUAACUAAACAUCAUAAGUUCAUAAUCCAUGUAAUAGAUAUCUGUUUGGUUUAGCCUUGAACACAGAUCUUUAAAUUUUGCAUUCAAUUAGUUGAGCAAUUUAAAAAAAUUAGUAGAACUUUUAUAAACAGGAAUAAGAAGGUCUUUUUACAAGGAAAAAUUUUAAAUGAAAUUUAAUUUAUAGGUAGUCUAUGAAAUGAAAUUUACCUGUCAUAAUAUUAUGUAAGAAUUUACUGAUGAAGUAUCUUGUCUUUAAAUUUGUUGUACAUGCUUUUCUUAAGUCAGAGAAUUAAGGGGAAAUCUGUACUUUAACAUUCUAAUGAUCAUUAAAAGCUAUGAGAUAAAUUAUUGCUUUGCCUCAAGAAGAUAAAAUUUUUAUAUCUAAAUCAUCCAAUCAUUAUAAAAGAAAUAAAACUCCAGAAGGCAGUGUUGAAGGUCUGAAUGCUAUGCAAUAUAAAUGUGAUAUAUGUUGUAAUUUUAUGACAUUUUUUAUGCUUUUGUGGCUGUUUAUGAAUAUUUAUGUAAAUAAUGUCUAUUACAGUGUUUUAUUUAGAAUGUAAAUAUGUACAUAUGAAAAAUGGCAAUAAAGUCAUUAUACGUCUACAUUAGUAAAGUGCUAACUCAUAUCUUAUGACCUUUAAAAGGUCCUUAUGACCUUCAAAAGGUCAAGUGCCACUUUUCUUUAUUUUUCUUUAUUUAUAUAUAUAUAUAUGCUUUUUCUUUUAAUGAAUAUAUUAGUGCAAAGGACCAUCUCAUAAUACAUAUUUUUCACAUUACUUGAAAUGAUGUUUUGUUUGGAGAUAAAGCAAAUAAUAAUAAUACCUAAUUUAAAAUAAAAAUUCUUCUAGCUUAAAAUUUUCACUAUUUUAUUUGAACGAGGUCAGUCUGUGGUAGCUUGUACAUUAAAGAUCAAUUCAUUUAAUAAUAUUUUUUUUUGUAUUUUUAAAUGUUCCCUAAGACCUAUUUUGUUUAGCGUACAUUUGUAUGUAUUAUUUCAUGUUUCAUCAGUUGUAUGGUGUGUGUUUAUGUCUUAAGUGAUGUUUUGUUGAAUAAUAUCAUCACAUCUACAAAAUCUGUUUAGGGAAUUGGUAUUCACAGAGUAUAUCAUUACAUCUAAAAAAAUCUGUUUAGAGAAUUGGUAUUCACAGGGUAUCUGUUUUUCAACAAAAUGAGAAAAAUUACUUAUGAUAUUAUAGAGGAGGUAAAAAAAAAGUGGAAAGUGGAAAAAAUUUAUAAAAAAAAGCAGGAUUAAGGAAAUUAACACCUUUAUGUCACCACCUCAUUAUACAUGUAAAUUAGCUUAUGAUCAACAAGCAUUGCAUAUACUUACACUAUAAAAGUGUUGAUCUAUUUUACUACAAUGUAUUUAGCAAUAUUCUGUAAUGUCUCCAUGAAUAUACAUAGUAUUAACUUUGUUUGCAUUCAUAUGUGGAUUAAAUUUCAUCUUUAUCAUAAUUUAGGUAAGGGCUAAAAAUUAAAAUGGGUAUGGGAGGGUAUGUAGGCAAUAGAAAAUAACUAACAUACCCUCUGUGUUAUUUAGCUUACAUCCAAUGGUCAAACAAUCAUAAAGGAUCCAUGUUCAAAAAUGAAACUACCAAUUCCUACUUAUGUGUUUGAAUAUCCCUCUGUUAUCAUUGGCCUCUCUUUUUCCUACCCUCAACAUUCAUUUUUAUGGAAUAGCCCCUUAAAGUCCAUAUAGCCCUUAAAGUCCAUUUAAUUCACUGCCACUUUUUAUUUAAAAAAAUUAUUGGACCUUUCUGUUUUCAUUUCAUAGGCAAAGAGUUCUGAUAGAUAUUCAAGUCAUCUUUUACGCUAGACUUUUUCUGUAACAUUUGCACAUUAUCCUGCUCAUUAAAGUGACAUUGGGAAUAAUAAUUGAAUCAGGUUUAAAAAAAACUACAUUCCAUUACCUUAUAGAGUGUAAAAUUAAUAGAUGUUAAGUACAUUUUUUCAGGUAGUUUUUUAUAAGAGACACAAAUUUUAGGGUGAAUUGUGAGGUUUAUAAAGUUGAUGAAAUAUAUGUUUUAUGAAUAUGCAUUGAAUGUUCUAUGCCUUCCAUGAUCUGUAUUGUUUUGAUAUUGUACUGUAAUUCUGUAUCAUUCUCCCACUCUAGGAGUGGGGCUAUAUAACAUUCACCAUGUCUGUACGUCUGUCAUUCCAUUCAUUAAACAAAUACUUGUAUCAUAUUUUUCUUAAGUUUUAAUGAACAUAAUGACUAGAUAAAUAAUCAGAUGCUUGACAGUGACUAAUUGUAACUUGUACUUGAUUUUCAGAUAUGUCAUACACCUAUUUCUUGUUAUUGAUACCUUAAAUAAUUCAAUGUGUUGAAUAAACUUUUUAUUUUUCUUUCAUACAUUUCUCUAGUAAAACUGAAAAGAUGUUUUCAUAUUUCAUUAGCAUCUUAACAUAAAUGUGUGCAAGCUUUACAGAUAUGUAAAACAUCUACAUAUUAUUUUAUCAUACUUUGAAUUACGAGUGGGAUAUAUCAGAAAGAAGAUGUGGUAUGAUUGCCAAUGAGACAAUGAGAGUGGGAGUAUGGUUAGCAUGACAACGAUUCUUGUUUUGUGAUAAUGGUAUACUGUUACAUUUGUCUUUCAUUAAUGUUUUAAUGUCUACAUGUAUAUAAUAUUGAUAUAAUAAACAGAUGUCGGCCAUUAUUGUUUAGAAUUAGAUGGAUGGGAAGUAAAUACACAGAAUGAUAUUAACCUAAACGUAGACGUUUGAUAAAUAUGUAAAUAAAUAUUUUGUUUCAGAUUUCUACAAAAAAUGUAUUAUCUUAUUCAUGUUUUAAUAUUUAUUGCAAAAUAAAUGUGUAGAAAGCUGGUAUCAAUCAACAAAAUUUUGAUCUGGGUUAUUUCCCUUAGGUAAAAAAAAUGUCUUCUCUUAAAGCUUAAAACAGUCUUGAUCAUCACCAAAGGAAAAAUUCUCUCUCAGUUUAUGUGAUAAUCACAAUAAGCAUUUUGCAGAACAUUAUGUUUUAAGAAAUACAAUAAAAAUUCAAAAUACAAUUUAAAAAUAGUUUACUCACUAGACAUUGGAAAUAAAGGAUAUAAAUCUUCCUGUCAUAUUCACUUCUAUGGUGCAGGCUAAUAUUGUAGUAGAUUAUUAUCCAAUACCAAUCUAGCAAAGGGGCAUUUUUUGUCCUUUAAAAAAAGUUAUAUCCCUUUAGUUAUGACAAAGGAAGAUAAUUUUCAAUUGUAUCCUACAUGUGAAAAUUGAAGGAUUUUUUUACAUGUGAAUGGCAUUAUUAUUGUUGAAUGAAUUGUGAUCAAAGUUAUAACAUUUUAUGAAUAUAUUAUUUAUUGAUUUUAUCAAUAAACUCUUCCACAUAC